UCGAGCUCUUCCCUUGGGUGGCCGUACCCACUGGGAACUAUGGAGUUAGUUCUCACCCCACGUUGUUUCGGGGUUUUACAGGUUCACACGUGAGCGGCGCGGCGGCGCGAGGCAAGGGCGUAGCUCCAUAGAUAGCGCCCUACCACCGAGACCAGAGAUAGUGGUACCCCAAGUCGGCAUAGCCUAGGGGUAGAGAAAAAUGAAAGAACAAGAUGUAUCAAACUUGUAGUAAAUUUAUGAUAAUUGGAUUGUAUUUGGAAGUUGAAUGUAAACGAAUGUAAUUUGUAAUGUAAAAUGUAAUAUGUGAGAUGAAUGCUUGUAAUAGCAAGUAGAUUUAUGUUUUGAUACUUCCUUAUGCAAUCUUUGGUUGAAAUGUGUUCCUAGUUGGAACUUCGUACAUUGUAUUGAUUGCGACGCCUUGAACGUACAGGGGAGACUCUGUCCGCGGUACAGGGGAAACCCUGUCCGU
RNAcentral lists this long non-coding RNA (469 nucleotides) under Ananas comosus (pineapple). RNAcentral's name for it is "long non-coding RNA (ACOM_LNC017961)". Lineage: Eukaryota; Viridiplantae; Streptophyta; Magnoliopsida; Poales; Bromeliaceae. The record is from RNAcentral.